Non-coding RNA from Vicia faba (fava bean), 240 nucleotides. The record is from the annotation of a GenBank genome assembly. Lineage: Eukaryota; Viridiplantae; Streptophyta; Magnoliopsida; Fabales; Fabaceae.
AUGUUACACUUUUUCAAAAUAUUGGCAAUUCCUCUGUAUUAUGAAGUUGAAGUUUAUCCAUAUGCAAACUAUGAUCAGUUCAUUCAUAUGCUGCUGCUCUUGAAUUUAGUUCAUUCAUAUGCUGCUGCUCAUGAAAAUUUGCACAUUGCACCACCUAACUUUGCCUGGUUCUUAGGUCAUGGUGCAAAUGAAACUGUUUAUAUACUGCUUGUUACUAACAUUGGUGGUUUCUUGGAUUGA